This 253-nucleotide unclassified non-coding RNA is filed under the name uncultured Acidobacteriota bacterium. RNAcentral describes it as "uncultured Acidobacteria bacterium contains 16S-23S intergenic spacer region". It matches the Rfam family "Bacterial small subunit ribosomal RNA", at positions 524 to 776 of the family's 1533-position model. The record is from RNAcentral. Lineage: Bacteria; Pseudomonadati; Acidobacteriota.
UACGGGGGGGGCAAGCGUUGUUCGGAAUUACUGGGCGUAAAGGGCGCGUAGGCGGCGCUCUAAGUCGGAUGUGAAAACUCUGGGCUCAACCCAGAGCCUGCAUCCGAAACUGGAGUGCUAGAGUUCUGGAGGGGAAAGCGGAAUUCCUGGUGUAGCGGUGAAAUGCGUAGAUAUCAGGAGGAACACCGGUGGCGAAGGCGGCUUUCUGGACAGAAACUGACGCUGAGGCGCGAAAGCUAGGGGAGCAAACAGG